UACGUAGGGGGCGAGCGUUGUCCGGAUUUAUUGGGCGUAAAGCGAGCGCAGGUGGUUUAAUAAGUCUGAUGUAAAAGGCAGUGGCUCAACCAUUGUGUGCAUUGGAAACUGUUAGACUUGAGUGCAGUAGAGGAGAGUGGAAUUCCAUGUGUAGCGGUGAAAUGCGUAGAUAUAUGGAGGAACACCGGUGGCGAAAGCGGCUCUCUGGACUGUCACUGACACUGAGGCUCGAAAGCGUGGGUAGCAAACAGG
RNAcentral lists this ribosomal RNA (252 nucleotides) under uncultured microorganism. Its description in RNAcentral is "partial 16S ribosomal RNA". It matches the Rfam family "Bacterial small subunit ribosomal RNA", at positions 524 to 776 of the family's 1533-position model. The record is from RNAcentral.